AACGAACGCUGGCGGCAUGCCUAACACAUGCAAGUCGAACGAGCCCUUCGGGUCCAGUGGCGCACGGGUGCGUAACGCGUGGGAACCUGCCCUUAGGUUCGGAAUAACUCCCCGAAAGGGGUGCUAAUACCGGAUAAUGUCUUCGGACCAAAGAUUUAUCGCCUUUGGAUGGGCCCGCGUUGGAUUAGCUAGUUGGUAGGGUAAUAGCCUACCAAGGCGACGAUCCAUAGCUGGUCUGAGAGGAUGAUCAGCCACACUGGGACUGAGACACGGCCCAGACUCCUACGGGAGGCAGCAGUGGGGAAUAUUGGACAAUGGGCGAAAGACUGAUCCAGCAAUGCCGCGUGAGUGAUGAAGGCCUUAGGGUUGUAAAGCUCUUUUACCCGGGAUGAUAAUGACGGUACCGGGAGAAUAAGCGCCGGCUAACUCCGUG
This 433-nucleotide ribosomal RNA is filed under the name uncultured bacterium. RNAcentral's name for it is "partial 16S ribosomal RNA". It matches the Rfam family "Bacterial small subunit ribosomal RNA", at positions 29 to 507 of the family's 1533-position model. The record is from RNAcentral.